UGCCAGCCGCCGCGGUAAUACGAAGGGACCUAGCGUAGUUCGGAAUUACUGGGCGUAAAGCGCACGUAGGCGGAUUAGUAAGUUAGAGGUGAAAUCCCAGGGCUCAACCCUGGAACUGCCUUUAAUACUGCUAGUCUUGAGUUCGAGAGAGGUAAGUGGAAUUCCGAGUGUAGAGGUGAAAUUCGUAGAUAUUCGGAGGAACACCAGUGGCGAAGGCGGCUUACUGGCUCGAUACUGACGCUGAGGUGCGAAAGCGUGGGGAGCAAACAGGAUUAGAUA
Molecule: ribosomal RNA, 279 nt
Filed under: uncultured bacterium
Lineage: Bacteria
Description: partial 16S ribosomal RNA
Rfam family: Bacterial small subunit ribosomal RNA
Source: RNAcentral